CCUACGGGAGGCAGCAGUGGGGAAUAUUGGACAAUGGGGGGAACCCUGAUCCAGCCAUGCCGCGUGUGUGAAGAAGGCCCUCGGGUUGUAAAGCACUUUCAGUGAGGAAGAACGCCUGGUGGUUAAUACCCAUCAGGAAAGACAUCACUCACAGAAGAAGCACCGGCUAACUCCGUGCCAGCAGCCGCGGUAAUACGGAGGGUGCGAGCGUUAAUCGGAAUUACUGGGCGUAAAGCGCGCGUAGGUGGCUUGAUAAGCCGGUUGUGAAAGCCCCGGGCUCAACCUGGGAACGGCAUCCGGAACUGUCAAGCUAGAGUGCAGGAGAGGAAGGUAGAAUUCCCGGUGUAGCGGUGAAAUGCGUAGAGAUCGGGAGGAAUACCAGUGGCGAAGGCGGCCUUCUGGACUGACACUGACACUGAGGUGCGAAAGCGUGGGUAGCAAACAGGAUUAGAUACCUUAGUAGUC
RNAcentral lists this ribosomal RNA (465 nucleotides) under Vreelandella stevensii. RNAcentral describes it as "partial 16S ribosomal RNA". It matches the Rfam family "Bacterial small subunit ribosomal RNA", at positions 338 to 795 of the family's 1533-position model. The record is from RNAcentral. Lineage: Bacteria; Pseudomonadati; Pseudomonadota; Gammaproteobacteria; Oceanospirillales; Halomonadaceae.